CCUACGGGGGGCAGCAGUGGGGAAUAUUGCGCAAUGGGCGAAAGCCUGACGCAGCGACGCCGCGUGAGGGAUGAAGGUCUUCGGAUCAUAAACCUCUGUCAGCAGGGAAGAACGGUCACUGUGCUAAUCAGCAGUGAAUUGACGGUACCUGCAAAGGAAGCACCGGCUAACUCCGUGCCAGCAGCCGCGGUAAUACGGAGGGUGCGAGCGUUAAUCGGAAUUACUGGGCGUAAAGCGCUCGUAGGCGGUAUGUCAAGUCAAGGGUGAAAUCCCCGCGCUCAACGUGGGAACUGCCUUUGAAACGGGCAAACUGGAGUGUGUGAGAGGAUAGUGGAAUUCCAGGUGUAGGAGUGAAAGCCGUAGAUAUCUGGAGGAACAUCAGUGGCGAAGGCGACUAUCUGGCACAUAACUGACGCUGAGGAGCGAAAGCGUGGGUAGCAAACAGGAUUAGAUACCCCAGUAGUC
RNAcentral lists this ribosomal RNA (465 nucleotides) under uncultured bacterium. RNAcentral's name for it is "partial 16S ribosomal RNA". It matches the Rfam family "Bacterial small subunit ribosomal RNA", at positions 338 to 795 of the family's 1533-position model. The record is from RNAcentral.